GAUGAACGCUGGCGGCGUGCCUAAUACAUGCAAGUCGAGCGAACAGAUAAGGAGCUUGCUCCUUUGACGUUAGCGGCGGACGGGUGAGUAACACGUGGGUAACCUACCUAUAAGACUGGGAUAACUUCGGGAAACCGGAGCUAAUACCGGAUAACAUUUGGAACCGCAUGGUUCUAAAGUGAAAGAUGGUUUUGCUAUCACUUAUAGAUGGACCCGCGCCGUAUUAGCUAGUUGGUAAGGUAACGGCUUACCAAGGCAACGAUACGUAGCCGACCUGAGAGGGUGAUCGGCCACACUGGAACUGAGACACGGUCCAGACUCCUACGGGAGGCAGCAGUAGGGAAUCUUCCGCAAUGGGCGAAAGCCUGACGGAGCAACGCCGCGGGAGUGAUGAAGGGUUUCGGCUCGUAAAACUCUGUUAUUAGGGAAGAACAAACGUGUAAGUAACUGUGCACGUCUUGACGGUACCUAAUCAGAAAGCCACGGCUAACUACGUG
This 497-nucleotide ribosomal RNA is filed under the name uncultured bacterium. RNAcentral's name for it is "partial 16S ribosomal RNA". It matches the Rfam family "Bacterial small subunit ribosomal RNA", at positions 28 to 507 of the family's 1533-position model. The record is from RNAcentral.